Molecule: long non-coding RNA, 632 nt
Organism: Populus euphratica (Euphrates poplar)
Lineage: Eukaryota; Viridiplantae; Streptophyta; Magnoliopsida; Malpighiales; Salicaceae
Exons: 3
Source: RefSeq, a predicted model, not a curated record
UAUUGAAAACUGCAGAUAGGUGUCCCAAAUUCACCAUUUUAGGACCUCUCCCCUCUCUUUCUCUCUCAUUUUCUUGAGGUAGUUAGGCUUAAUUUCUAGCUAGAGUUAUAGUAGUGGCAUCGAACGAAGAGAAGGGGUGUUUGUGAGCAAGAUGGAGAAGCAGGGCACGUGCACUACUAACUCAUGCACACAGAGAGGGAGACGCAUUUCUUGCUGGAGCUACGAGUUACGACUCUUACCUACGAUUGAUUUUGUUAGCUCCAGUGAGUUAGUUAUUCAUGUGCCUUUCUUCCCCAUCAUGAUCACUACCACACCUAGCUAUAUUGCUCCAUCUCGGGUACUUCAAGUAGGAGAAUCUCCGGUUCAGGUGCUGAAUCCAUGCAUGCAGAAAUGGACGUUAAACUUUCAACAAUUGAAAGAGAAGUCCUUGUAGCACCUAAAAAGUCCACUUCACGAAAGUCCUUUCAAACGAAAAGGCAGAAAGUGAAUGAAUAUAUAUUUUUCCUGCUCUUUAUGGUGGCUUAUAUGGAGUUGUUCUCCCACUGGAGUUGGAAAGCCAGUGAAUUUUUAACCAUCCUUUGCCAAAUAUAUAGAAUUCUCCUAGGAGUUGCGGAACAAAAUUAUUCUACCAC